This is a long non-coding RNA of Gallus gallus (chicken), 3134 nucleotides long. The record is from Ensembl. Lineage: Eukaryota; Metazoa; Chordata; Aves; Galliformes; Phasianidae.
ACUCCAGCUGAGAGCUAGGGGAGAAAUACUGCUAUUCUUUCGUUUUGGUAUCUUACUAUGCCAUCUUAAUUUCCAUUUUUUUUCUGAUAAAUUAAAUAGAUAAAGGCUAACAUCUCCUGCUAGAAGAUUGCUAAUCUUGCAGAGUGUUUAUUCAUCAGAAUUUGUAGUUUGUCUUCCCAGUUUGGGCAGUUUGCACUAGUUUGAGUAGCCAGCCAAAAAAAAUCAGAUAACUUCUCUGUUUAGAGCAGAAGAAUAGUCCAGAUCUAAUGGGUCACAGAGGACCCAGUAUCCACUUCAGAGAAAGAAAACUGUGAGUAGAGAUCAACCUGAGUUUGGCAAGAAAAAUAAAUCAUUCCUGGGAUUUUGUGAGACUUACUGAUAAAUCUGCUUUAAUUUGUUUCCUCCAAAUUGCUCAGUACAAAAGUAUAUUGAAAAGAACAAUGCUAAGAGGAGCAUCAUAUGGAGACAUUUUAAUUGCUCAGAUCCCAUUACGUUUCAGUUCGAAAAUGAAGGAAGCAUGAGAGAUUGCAAGAGCAGUCAGUGUGAGAGGAGCACCCAUGCACGCACUUUUCCGUGUCAUAUGCAGAUGAUAUGUCUUGUCCUGAAUCUCCGCGCAGCACAGCUGUAGUGGUGGAUGUGGUUAGAAACUCUGAAUGAUGAGCCAGAGUCAUACAUUUAUUGAGGAAAAAGGCUACCAUCAUUUUGAUCAGUAUCUUCAUCAUAAGAGUACGUCAUAAGGACAUAAAAAAUCAUUGCUCAGUUUCUUUUUUGAACAGAACUGAUUCAAAUAUCAGCUUUUAUGAAAGGUUUUGAAUAAUAAUGUUCUAAGUCAUAUGGGAAGGAGUUUGCUUUUUAAGGAUGGUUACUGUAACUGAAUUAAUUUGUAGGCUGAAAUGCCAAAAGGAAAGUCUUAGAUUUUCACUUCAUUAAAAUAUGUUGAGAUCUUAGUCUACAAAUGCUAAGUCAUUGACAUGUGCUGCCAUAUUUGUUUUCUAACCUAAAAAGAAAAAAAAAAAAGCAUAGAAAUGAAAUAUAAAUGUAACUGCUUAUGAAAAAGUAGCCACUUACUGUUUAUGUAAGGCAUUGUGUUUUACUUAUUCCAUUAUGACUUAUUCCAGGGAAAAAACUGACCUCACUAGAAUUUGGAUGAUGAAGACUUUAUGGCAAGGCUCACACCUCCAGUGUGAAGAAUUUGAGAGGUUUUGUUUGCUCUUUAUUGUGUUUAUUUAUUGUUUCUACCAGAAAAAGAAAUUCUGCUGUUAGUUAUUAUGGAAACUUUUUGUUAAACAAGAACAUUUGGCAGCAAAAGCUCACUCUAAAUUUGUCAAUAUAUAUUUGGACAAAUGUUUCCAGAUGGUUAUCUGGGUCUUGGACUUUCAAAAAGCAACAUAAAACAAACGCUUGUGUUUAUGAAAUAUUUUAGCUAAAGAAAGUUAUUUUUUCCAGUCACUGAAGUGAUUUUUUAGUCAAUCCUGAUCUGGUAAAACUGAAUAAAUCCCUCCAGCAAGCUGAACUUACUGACAUUACUUAGUAUUUACACACAGCAGGGAAGCUAGUCUGUCCCAGGUAUUUACACAUUUUCAGGGCUCUGCAGUGUAUGAGAACACACGUGCAAGUAUCUGUAGACAUGGUGCUAAUUCCUGACAGGUUCGUGUUCAGAUAAGUGAACAUGAGAACAGAAACACGGGGAACAUAUGAAUAAUAGCAGAAUGAAGUUGAUGUGAUUUUAAAAUUUAGAAAUGUGUAAAAACCCAUAAACAAAAUAAAUGUUUUCAAAGCUUUGUCAUGUGAUGCUUUGAAAAGACAAGAAAGACAGGGAGCUGUUGGAGAGAGUCCAGAGGAGGGCCACAAAGAUGAUCAGAAGGUUGGAGCACCUUCCCUACGAAGACAGGCUGAGGGAGCUGUGCUUGUUCAGCCUGGAGAAGAGAAGGCUGCGGGGUGACCUCACUGCAGCCUUCCAGUACCUAAAGGUAGCCUACAAACAGGAGGGGAGUCAACUCUUUACAAGCAUAGAUAAUGGCAGGACAGGGGGAAAUGGUUUUAAGCUGAAGGAGGGAAGAUUUAGGAUGGAUAUCAGGGGGAAGUUCUUUAUCAGGAUAGUGAUGAGGUGCAGGAACAGGCUGCCCAGAGAGGUUGUGGAUGCCCCGUCCCUGGAGGUUGGAUGGUGCCCUGGGCAGCCUGCUCUAGUAUUAGAUAUGGAGGUUGGUGGCCCGGCCUGCGGUAGGGGUGUUGGAGCUUCAUGAUCCUUGAGAUCCCUUCCAACCCAAGUCAUUCAAUGAUUCUAUGAUUCUAUGACAAGGUUUUUGCAAAUUGGUGCGUAGUGGCUUUUAAAAUUCUUCUUUCUUACCCCUUCAUACAGGCUUAGAUGCGGGUGAAUUGUCAGAUGAAGUCCAGCUUUCACAAGUUAAGAAUCCCACUAGUUAAAGUUGUGAAAAGCUUUUAGGUCUGUGCAUGGUGCUGUAUUGAGAUAGAACAGACUUAAGUCCUUGUUUGAUUAUAUGGGCCUGUGAGGGUCUAUUCUGGUUUUCUGAUACUGCCAGUUCUCUAUUUUCUGAGUCUUUUAGAGAAAGAGCCUUUUAGUGAAGGAUAACCUACAGAAUUUGGGGAUCAGUUCACAUAACUCUUCAAAACCUUUAUCUGAAAAUAUAUGGUCUGUAAGAAAAAGCAUAAAAGAAACCAACUCUCUAACCCAAACCUGAUAGAUUUUUGUGAAGAGUUUACUUUUGGAAGGUAGUUAUCUGGAAGAGACAAGUGAAUCUUUUAUGCUGAAAUGUUGCUAACACAUCACAGCUUUAGGUCCAAUAUCUAUCAAUCACAUUCUAUAAGAAGCAUCAAUCCUCAAAUCAAAUACAAUGUUUCAAAAGUCAAAUUUUCUCUGUAUUUGUCCAUUAAUUUGUUCUCUGCAUAUAUGGGGAUCUCAAUUAACAUUUUUAAAAACCUCAUCAUUCACUCUUCUCCACACAAGUAGAAGCAAGUGGAAAUUAUACUAGUUGGACUAUGUAUGACGUGAAAUCUAGAUAAAUUCAUGGCUGUUUUCUUGUCUAGUUAUCACAUUCCAUGUCUUAGUUUUAUGUUCUCAUAGCUACGUACUGAUGAGCUUACCGCAAAGAGGAUAAAGUUGGCAUCAGUCCUUG